This 253-nucleotide ribosomal RNA is filed under the name uncultured bacterium. RNAcentral's name for it is "partial 16S ribosomal RNA". It matches the Rfam family "Bacterial small subunit ribosomal RNA", at positions 524 to 776 of the family's 1533-position model. The record is from RNAcentral.
GACAGAGGGUGCAAACGUUGUUCGGAAUUACUGAGCGUAAAGCGCGUGUAGGCGGUCGGGCAAGUCGGGUGUGAAAGCCCAGGGCUCAACCCUGGAAGUGCAUUCGAUACUGCCUGGCUAGAGUCCCGGAGAGGAUGGUGGAACUCUCGGUGUAGAGGUGAAAUUCGUAGAUAUCGGGAGGAACACCUGAGGCGAAGGCGGGCUACUGGGCCGAUACUGACGCUGAUGCGCGAAAGCCAGGGGAGCGAACGGG